This 1534-nucleotide long non-coding RNA is filed under the name Sorghum bicolor (sorghum). RNAcentral's name for it is "long non-coding RNA (SBIC_LNC009766)". Lineage: Eukaryota; Viridiplantae; Streptophyta; Magnoliopsida; Poales; Poaceae. The record is from RNAcentral.
GAGAGAGAGAGAGAGAGAGAGAGAGAGAGAGUAUAGGAGUAUUGUAGUUUCAACAAGGAUACCAUGAAUGAGCCGUCGCGGCGCAAGACACGCGCUGGCCCGCCCAAUGUGGCCCCGGCACGCCCAGGCGAACGUCGCAUCGCCGACAACUCAAUGAAUGAACUUCUUUUUUUCUUUUUUUUUUCUCUUUAUAUACUAUGGUCGUACUGAGUGCUUUAUGCAUGCAGCAUAAUAAUUCUUUUUUCCUGAAGAAGCAACGAACCUAGCUGUGUGCUGUCUUUAAAGGCCAGAUGCCAAUAUCAAGGCAUCAAGCUGUCCUGUCUCCCACGAAAAAUUCGGGCCUUCAAAAACAGGAUAUAUAGGUUCCAUCAACUUUGGAUUGUAUCAAUACCAAUAAUCUUCAUUAUAUUGAAACUAAAUAUGCUUGCUCUCGCAAUACAUGCGUGUUUGCAUUGUGAAGACAGACGUAUGCUUGCUUACAAUACUUGAGCCUUUUAAAAAUACCUAUCUCCUUUGUAAUCCCUCUAUGUAGUAUUUGCAUAAACAUCUUCUUGCCUAAAUAAUAUUUGCAUGUGAACUGCUUCGGUACUCCCCUUUUAAUUUAUAGCAGAAAUAUUAAAGCAGUCCACCAUUUUAAAUAAUUAAUUUUAUAAUUAUUUCUCGUCUGGAUUUCGAGUUGGCCCAGCCUAGGCCGUGUUCAGCCCAAACCUGCAUCCGUGAUCCAUUCCCUUCCUUCCCCCUCCUCCGCGUUCAUCUCUGAAGCCGCUUGAGCUUCAACACAGCACAGAGAUGAGAGCGGCAGCGGCCACUCACCGGCGGCGGUGUCGGAGCCAUGGAACUAACCAAGGACGGCGAGGAAUGGCUGCGUGAGGAGCUCCGCUGAGAUGAGAGCAGUGGUGCUCAAAGACUGCUCACUAAGUGUCACACCCAUAUUUUAAGAAUAAAAUAGGAUGCAUAAAAGACUCAUAUGUGCUCCAGAAACAGUCGCACAUAUAGGUAGACAAAUCUCAAAUGUACCAUUGCAGUGUUAUUACAUCGUGGAACGAUAGUAAAUCACAUAGUCUUAUACAAUAAUGAUAAUAAGAAAUAAACAACGCUCUCGACGGAAGCACCACACAGGGACACUGUUGACUGGUUGACUCCAAGCCUAGUACUCAUAACGGUAGUCCUCUUUCCAAUCAUCUUCGUUAACAUAACCUGGGGUGUUGGGAAAUUGCAAGAGUGAGCACAUAUCGUACUCAACAAGUAUAACCAGGGUUUCAUGAGGCUCAAUAAGCUGACACUGGUUAGACUGCAUUUAGCUUUUAUAUGUAGAUAGCAUAUUUAUAUUUAGAUAGCAAAUGUCAAGGUACCAUAAUUCAUCCCAUAACCACAUGAUCAAUGUAUACAAUAAUUAAGAAUAACACAUAUAAACAACAUCAUAAAUCAUCAUUUAUCAUCAUUAAUCAUGUUCAUCAGUGUCCAUCUAUUCCGUCAGUUUUCCGGGCCGCCCGUAUCCGUGGGCACGGCUAGUAUACCAGAUUUAACACUCUGC